This 279-nucleotide ribosomal RNA is filed under the name uncultured bacterium. Its description in RNAcentral is "partial 16S ribosomal RNA". It matches the Rfam family "Bacterial small subunit ribosomal RNA", at positions 506 to 784 of the family's 1533-position model. The record is from RNAcentral.
UGCCAGCAGCCGCGGUAAGACGAGGGGCCCAAGCGUUAAUCGGAAUCACUGGGCUUAAAGGGUGCGUAGGCUGAUGCGAAGGUGUCUUGUGAAAUCCCUCGGCUCAACCGAGGAACUGCAAGGCAAACCACGUGUCUUGAGACAUGUAGGGGUCGUCGGAACGAUAGGUGGAGCGGUGAAAUGCGUAGAUAUCUAUCGGAACGCCAAUGGAGAAGUCAGGCGACUGGGCAUGUUCUGACGCUGAGGUACGAAAGCGUGGGUAGCGAACGGGAUUAGAUA